Molecule: ribosomal RNA, 459 nt
Filed under: uncultured bacterium
Lineage: Bacteria
Description: partial 16S ribosomal RNA
Rfam family: Bacterial small subunit ribosomal RNA
Source: RNAcentral
CCUACGGGUGGCUGCAGUGAGGAAUAUUGGUCAAUGGGCGCGAGCCUGAACCAGCCAAGUCGCGUGAGGGAAGACGGUCCUAUGGAUUGUAAACCUCUUUUGUCGGGGAGCAAACGACGCCACGCGUGGCGUUCCGAGAGUACCCGAAGAAAAAGCAUCGGCUAACUCCGUGCCAGCAGCCGCGGUAAUACGGAGGAUGCGAGCGUUAUCCGGAUUUAGUGGGUUUAAAGGGUGCGUAGGCGGACGCUUAAGUCAGCGGUAAAAUUGCGGGGCUCAACCUCGUCGGGCCGUUGAAACUGGGGGCCUUGAGUGGGCGAGAAGUACGCGGAAUGCGUGGUGUAGCGGUGAAAUGCUUAGAUAUCACGAAGAACUCCGAUUGCGAAGGCAGCUCACUGGACUGCAACUGACACUGAGGCUCGAAAGUGUGGGUAUCAAACAGGAUUAGAUACCCGAGUAGUC